UACGUAGGGACCGAGCGUUGUCCGGAAUCAUUGGGCGUAAAGCGCGUGUAGGCGGCCGUGCAAGUCGGGUGUGAAAGCCCUCGGCUCAACCGAGGAAGUGCGCCCGAAACUGCAUGGCUUGAGUACCGGAGAGGAUGGCGGAAUUCCCCAAGUAGAGGUGAAAUUCGUAGAUAUGGGGAGGAACACCGGUGGCGAAGGCGGCCAUCUGGACGGAUACUGACGCUGAGACGCGAAAGCGUGGGGAGCAAACAGG
RNAcentral lists this ribosomal RNA (253 nucleotides) under uncultured bacterium. RNAcentral's name for it is "partial 16S ribosomal RNA". It matches the Rfam family "Bacterial small subunit ribosomal RNA", at positions 524 to 776 of the family's 1533-position model. The record is from RNAcentral.